UAAACAAGCCCCCACCUCUGGUUUUC
Molecule: unclassified non-coding RNA, 26 nt
Filed under: Mus musculus (house mouse)
Lineage: Eukaryota; Metazoa; Chordata; Mammalia; Rodentia; Muridae
Description: oocyte_clustered_small_RNA12147
Source: RNAcentral